Molecule: non-coding RNA, 509 nt
Organism: Pelobates cultripes (western spadefoot toad)
Lineage: Eukaryota; Metazoa; Chordata; Amphibia; Anura; Pelobatidae
Source: the annotation of a GenBank genome assembly
CGUGGGCCCGCGGGUCUACCGGAAUGCGGUCUUCUCCGUGGGCAUAUGGAGGGAGCUCCAGUUGGGCCGCAGCCCAGAAGAGGAACAGGUAACUGAUACUGCUUCACAGGCUGUCUGCGACACUGGAGGGGUGAGUGUGGGUUGUCGCAUAGCGAAACGAUCACAGAAGGCCUGGUAUAUUGCCUCAAAUCUAGCGUUGAAGACUUCUCUCCAGUUCUGGCCUGACAGGCUCAUUUAAUUGUGCUGAGGUGUCAAUGCGGCGGCCAUCUUGGACGAGCUGCGUGGCUUUCAAGAUUCCUCUGCUUGUCUCCCUGGAACAGGCUUAGCGGACCAAGUAGGGACCGGGAUAUCCCCCACCGGUCCAAAUGGAGGGGGGGGGGGGUAAUGGGGCUCUGAGCAUUCAGUUGUAAGUUGCGCACCCACUGGUAGGAGAUCAACCUCAUCUCCACACCAUCAGCGUGCCAGAUGCAGUAGGCCUCAGACAUUUACAUGGGCGAUGUCCAGCAAAC